Molecule: ribosomal RNA, 480 nt
Filed under: uncultured bacterium
Lineage: Bacteria
Description: partial 16S ribosomal RNA
Rfam family: Bacterial small subunit ribosomal RNA
Source: RNAcentral
GAUGAACGCUGGCGGCGUGCUUAACACAUGCAAGUCGAACGAAGCACUUUAUUUGAUUUCCUUCGGGACUGAUUAUUUUGUGACUGAGUGGCGGACGGGUGAGUAACGCGUGGGUAACCUGCCUUGUACAGGGGGAUAACAGUUGGAAACGGCUGCUAAUACCGCAUAAGCGCACAGUAUCGCAUGAUGCAGUGUGAAAAACUCCGGUGGUAUAAGAUGGACCCGCGUUGGAUUAGCUAGUUGGUGAGGUAACGGCCCACCAAGGCGACGAUCCAUAGCCGACCUGAGAGGGUGACCGGCCACAUUGGGACUGAGACACGGCCCAAACUCCUACGGGAGGCAGCAGUGGGGAAUAUUGCACAAUGGGCGAAAGCCUGAUGCAGCGACGCCGCGUGAGCGAAGAAGUAUUUCGGUAUGUAAAGCUCUAUCAGCAGGGAAGAUAAUGACGGUACCUGACUAAGAAACACCGGCUAAAUACGU